CAGUCAUGUAGGCAAAUCCGCAUGGCGUGCAUGGCGAGGUGUGAUGAUGGGAGCCUUUUGGCUCGAUAUCCGGUUGUCCAGGCCGUCGAGAAAAGCCUCGGCGUGAGGGCCAUGGCCGCCCUUACCCCAAACCGACACUGGUGGUCAGGUAGAGAAUACCAAGGCGAUCGAGCGAAUCCUGGUCAAGGAACUCGGCAAAUCACUCCCGUGCCUUCGGUAUAAGGGAGACCCGCUGGGGUGAACCGGCUAGCCCGGGGAGCUUUGGUGGGUGGCACAGACCAGGGGGUAGCGACUGUUUACCAAAAACACAGGUCAUGCGAAGGCGAAAGCCGCUGUAUAUGCACUGACGCCUGCCCGGUGCCGGAAGGUUAAGAGGAUCCGUCAACUCUUCGGAGCGAAGCGGUGAAUUCAAGCCCCGGUAAACGGCGGUGGUAACUAUAACCAUCCUAAGGUAGCGAAAUUCCUUGUCGGGUAAGUUCCGACCUGCACGAAUGGCGUAACGACUUCCCCACUGUCUCGACCAGGAGCUCGGCGAAAUUGCAGUACGAGUAAAGAUGCUCGUUAAGCGCAGAAGGACGAAAAGACCCCGGGGCCUUUACUAUACCUUGGUAUUGGCGUUAGGCGCGGAUUGUGUAGCAUAGGCGGGAGGCUUCGAAGCGGGUGCGCCAGCAUUCGUGGAGCCGCAAGGUGAAAUACCGCUCUGUUCUCGUUUGACGUCUAACCUCGACAAGUCAUCCUUGUCAGGGACAGUGCCUGGCGGGUAGUUCAACUGGGGCGGUUGCCUCCCAAAGAGUAACGGAGGCGCUCAAAGGUCCGCUCAGCCCGGUUGGCAAUCGGGUGUCGAGUGUAAUCGCACAAGCGGGCUUGACCGCGAGGACGACGGUCCGAGCAGGGACGAAAGUCGGAGAUAGUGAUCCGGUGCCGGCGCACGGGCGCGGCAUCGCUCAACGGAUAAAAGGUACCCCGGGGAUAACAGGCUGAUCAUUCCCAAGAGUCCAUAUCGACGGGAUGGUUUGGCACCUCGAUGUCGGCUCGUCGCAUCCUGGGGCUGGAGCAGGUCCCAAGGGUUCGGCUGUUCGCCGAUUAAAGCGGCACGCGAGCUGGGUUCAGAACGUCGUGAGACAGUUUGGUCUCUAUCCUCUGCGCUCGUUGGAAUCCUGAGGAGGCCUGCCCAUAGUACGAGAGGACCUGGGUGGACGAACCUCUGGUAUGCCGGUUGUCGCGCCAGCGGCACGGCCGGUUGGCUACGUUCGGGAGGGAUAACCGCUGAAAGCAUCUAAGCGGGAAGCCUGCUCCAAGAUUAGGAUUCCAUGGAUCUUCGAGAUUCUGUAGCCCGCAUGUUGAACACGUGUUUGAUAGGCCGGAGGUGGAAGCCCCGUGAGGGGUGGAGCCGACCGGUACUAACGGGCGACGGC
This 1415-nucleotide ribosomal RNA is filed under the name metagenome. RNAcentral's name for it is "bacterial LSU rRNA". It matches the Rfam family "Bacterial large subunit ribosomal RNA", at positions 1525 to 2912 of the family's 2925-position model. The record is from RNAcentral.